UAGAUGUCCAUAAGAGAAUUGGA
This 23-nucleotide non-coding RNA is filed under the name Arabidopsis thaliana (thale cress). Lineage: Eukaryota; Viridiplantae; Streptophyta; Magnoliopsida; Brassicales; Brassicaceae. The record is from RNAcentral.